Molecule: transfer RNA, 92 nt
Filed under: Perca flavescens (yellow perch)
Lineage: Eukaryota; Metazoa; Chordata; Actinopteri; Perciformes; Percidae
Rfam family: tRNA
About the family: Transfer RNA (tRNA) molecules are approximately 80 nucleotides in length. Their secondary structure includes four short double-helical elements and three loops (D, anti-codon, and T loops). Further hydrogen bonds mediate the characteristic L-shaped molecular structure. tRNAs have two regions of fundamental functional importance: the anti-codon, which is responsible for specific mRNA codon recognition, and the 3' end, to which the tRNAs corresponding amino acid is attached (by aminoacyl-tRNA synthetases). tRNAs cope with the degeneracy of the genetic code in two manners: having more than one tRNA (with a specific anti-codon) for a particular amino acid; and 'wobble' base-pairing, i.e. permitting non-standard base-pairing at the 3rd anti-codon position.
Source: Rfam by way of RNAcentral
GGCUCUGUGGCGCAAUGGAUAGCGCGUUGGACUUCUAGGUAAUCUCUAACGAAGUGAUUCAAAGGUUGUGGGUUCGAGUCCCACCAGAGUCG